UCAACCUGAAAAGAAAGGGAGAAAAUACACAGAUGAGCAAACUGAUCCUCAAAGAAGUGAGGCAGCUUCUCAAAGACUGCACAACCAUCCUAUGGGAUAAGAGGGACUCAGGCCAAGAGUCUUCUUGCCUCACUCUGACUUCCAUGAUCUUUGCUGGUGGCUCGAGGCCUUUGUGUUAGGAGCAUUGUAAUAGCAGACUCAGCUUUAAGUCAAAGGAAAGGAUCCCAUCCAGGAUCU
Molecule: non-coding RNA, 237 nt
Organism: Delphinapterus leucas (beluga whale)
Lineage: Eukaryota; Metazoa; Chordata; Mammalia; Artiodactyla; Monodontidae
Source: RefSeq, a predicted model, not a curated record